RNAcentral lists this unclassified non-coding RNA (266 nucleotides) under Hevea brasiliensis (rubber tree). The record is from RNAcentral. Lineage: Eukaryota; Viridiplantae; Streptophyta; Magnoliopsida; Malpighiales; Euphorbiaceae.
GGCAUUUUCCCUGGAUUUCAACUUGAGAUCCCAUAUGAAAACGCAUUCACAAGAGAACUACCAUAUUUGUCCGUACGCUGAUUGUGGAAAGAGAUUUGCCCACGAGUACAAAUUGAAGAAUCACAUUACAUCUCACCAUGAAAAGAAUGUGACAGCUGAAGUGGUCAAAUAUACACCGCCUUCCGAGAAGCAAACUAAGGUUUCUAAACCUUCUGGAGGAGCUUAUGCUUCUGCGUCAUCAGAUCGUCCAUAUGCUUGCCCCACGG